This 401-nucleotide unclassified non-coding RNA is filed under the name soil metagenome. RNAcentral describes it as "partial contains 5.8S ribosomal RNA, internal transcribed spacer 2, and large subunit ribosomal RNA". The stretch from base 1 to 120 matches the Rfam family "5.8S ribosomal RNA", at positions 36 to 154 of the family's 154-position model. The record is from RNAcentral.
AUGAAGAACGCAGCGAAAUGCGAUAAGUAAUGUGAAUUGCAGAAUUCAGUGAAUCAUCGAAUCUUUGAACGCACCUUGCGCCCUUUGGCUAUUCCGAAGGGCAUGCCUGUUUGAGUAUCAUGAACACCUCAACUCUCAUGGCUUGCCAUGAUGAGCUUGGACUUUUGGGGGUCUUGCUGGCCUGUGGUCAGCUCCUCUCAAAUGAAUUAGCCUGCCAGUGUUUGGUGGCAUCACAGGUGUGAUAACUAUCUCGCUUGUGGUUUUCCACCAGGUAACCUUCAGUGAUGAAGGUUCGCUGGGGCUCAUAAACGUCUCUCCUCAGUGAGGACAGCUCUUUGAACGUUUGAUCUCAAAUCAGGUAGGACUACCCGCUGAACUUAAGCAUAUCAAUAAGCGGAGGA